AUUGAACGCUGGCGGCAGGCCUAACACAUGCAAGUCGAACGGUAGCACAGAGAGCUUGCUCUCGGGUGACGAGUGGCGGACGGGUGAGUAAUGUCUGGGAAACUGCCUGAUGGAGGGGGAUAACUACUGGAAACGGUAGCUAAUACCGCAUAACGUCGCAAGACCAAAGAGGGGGACCUUCGGGCCUCUUGCCAUCAGAUGUGCCCAGAUGGGAUUAGCUAGUAGGUGGGGUAACGGCUCACCCAGGCGACGAUCCCUAGCUGGGAUGAAAGGAUGACCAGCCAAACUGGAAAUUAGACUCAGCACAGAAUCCUAAAGGAGGCAGCAGUUGGGUAAAUUGAACCAUUGGCGGCAGCCUGGUGGAAACCUGACGCAUUUAUUGAGAAGGGCUUCCGGUUUUGAAAUAAUUUCAGCGGGGAGGAAGGCGAUAAGGUUAAUAACCUUGUCGAUUGACGUUACCCGCAGAAGAAGCACCGGCUAACUCCGUG
Molecule: ribosomal RNA, 488 nt
Filed under: uncultured bacterium
Lineage: Bacteria
Description: partial 16S ribosomal RNA
Rfam family: Bacterial small subunit ribosomal RNA
Source: RNAcentral